UACGUAGGGACCAAGCGUUGUUCGGAUUUACUGGGCGUAAAGGGCGCGUAGGCGGCUUGUCAAGUCACUUGUGAAAUCUCUGGGCUUAACCCAGAACGGCCAAGUGAAACUGACAUGCUAGAGUGCAGAAGGGGCAAUCGGAAUUCUUGGUGUAGCGGUGAAAUGCGUAGAUAUCAAGAGGAACACCUGAGGUGAAGACGGGUUGCUGGGCUGACACUGACGCUGAGGCGCGAAAGCUGGGGGAGCAAACAGG
Molecule: ribosomal RNA, 253 nt
Filed under: uncultured bacterium
Lineage: Bacteria
Description: partial 16S ribosomal RNA
Rfam family: Bacterial small subunit ribosomal RNA
Source: RNAcentral